CUAAAAUCUUCAUUCACUUUGUCAAGAAGCUUAAGUUUAAAAUUCAGGGGAAAAAAAUGUAUGUAAAUUGUCAAAACCUUUCAUUUCAAAUAUGUGUUCUUCUGUUGCUAAACAUAUAUAUUCAAUUUGUAUCCAUCUUUUAUACUCUACAGUUUGCGCCAAAGUUGGAUGGAUGCAGGAUUACAUUCGCUGGCUCUCUUGUGAGGAUAUCCAGAGUUUAUUGUUUCACACAAAAACAAUGUGAGUAUAAUUUGAUUUUGCAUUUUUCACCUGACAAAAGAAUUUAUUAUAUGCCGACCCCUUUAGGCCCCUUUUUCACUUUUUUUGUGUUUUCUGACAUUUUAUAGACUAGUCCAUCAAUCACCGAUGUGAGUAAUCAUUCACCUUUGUACGAUUUCUAUGAUUUGAAGCUACAGCAUCCGUCUCAUCCCGCACCCUGAGGUGUGAAAUAAUGGACCAAUAUUUUCCAGAGCUGUUCUAUUAUCCUGACAAUGUAAUAUUUCACUGUAUGAACUCAGGACAUGAAUUAUCAUACCUUUUGUAGGCUUCAUCUCCAGCUGUCAGGCGCAGAUCUUUAUUGUCAUGUCAAAUUGGAAGUGACCCAUUUCUUCUGCUCACUGAUAUAUUCUACAGUCAGAUUUUUGUCUUUAAAAUGAAACAAAUCAGCUUACUCUCAGAUGUAAAGACAAAAGAGAGAUUUGACAUGAUCUGUGAGUAUUUUUUUUAAAACCCAGAUGAAACAGGAAGUGAAACAGGUAGAUCUACCACCAAUAUUUUGAUUCUGCAUAAAAACUGGGUCACUGUUUGGUUUGAGGACAGGAAAUGACACCAUUUCUGCUCACGCUCUGUCUCAUUGAGGUUGAGACUUUUACACACAGUAGAUUUUUUUUUUUGAACACAAUAAAAGAAGAAGUGAAGCACAUCCAGCUUCUUUUCAAUGCAGGAUCAUUUUAAUUUUCAAUUACACACUGACAUUUACCAAUGUGGGUGUUUUUUUGCUCUCUCCUGACGAGAUAUCAGCCAUGAGAGUGGUUGAAAAGAGUCUCCUCCAUCUUUUUAAUUAAAGAUGUCUUAUUUUUAUUGUUCUUAUCUUAGCGAUGACGAGCUCCCCGUGUGCUAUCUUCACCCCAUUCUGAGCACUGCGGUUCAGACAGAAUAAGCCUCCUUAAUUGCAUAUGCAUGACCCCUUGUCUGGAAGCAGUCACUGUGUCAAUAAAUUAUAGUAAAGGCCACGGCUGCUAUCUAGAAUAUUAAUCAUUCUGCUUCCUCAGUAGUGCUGUUUGACAUCAUGGCACGCUUUCCUUUUAAAUCAGCUCAGAGGGUCAGGAGGUACAGGUAAUUAAACUUCAUAUGCUCAGAUCCCAGAUCUACAUUUAGCUUAAAAUAUUCAAUCACAGAAAUAAGCCUACUCUUUAAAUUUACGAAACCAUGCCUGGUUGGACAAAGUGCACUGUGGUUGGUUUUUGAAGUGCCUUUCGGAUCUAGUUUGGUAGAAAAACAAGAAAACAGUUCUCACCCCAUUAACUCUGAAUCAUCACGUCCCAUUCAAGUCAAUGAGAGUCCCUGAGCUCCCUCAUCCUGUAGGUUCCUCUGGAUCGCUGCUGCUGUGGACCAGCCCAAGCCUCAAUGGGACCCUAAGCAAAAUUUGAUUUUAGGGCCCUCUAUUUCUUCCAAUAAUAUUGAUUGUUGAUCAUUCACACUCCUUCACAAAUUUCUUUGAUUACCAUUCCAUGACCUGCAAACACACCUUUAUCUUGGCGUUUUUUCUCUUCUUCCUCUUCCUUUUCUCUGCUCCUAAAGGAUAUGCCCUUUUUUGCAACAUUGUUUUGCCCCACAAACUACCUGCGCUUUGGAUGCUCAGUGUACAGUGCACAGUAGAAGGCACAUAACGGUAGCAGAACUUUAACAUAUCGGCAGUAAGAAUCAUAGGCCUACAUUAGCAGCAGCACUAAAAUGUUUUUACUUUAUUUUUACAAUAAUAUAUAUUUGAUCAUACAGAAAGAAUCACUCACACAUGCAAAAAAUAAAAAAUAUUUAAACUUUUUUUUUUAUUGCUCUUGGGGGGCCCCUAUUGGCCGCAGGGCCCUAAACAGGAGCUUAGUUCGCUUAUGCCUUGGGCCGGCUCUGAGCAUGAGUUCCUCCAUUUUUUUAUAAAUGUUAUAAAGCUAACGUUGAUCGUAGAAUUUUUUGACUAUUCUGCUUUAAUUGUUCUAAUUCAAAGCCCCACUAUUUACCUCAACUUCACGGUAUCACUAAGCUAUUACUAUUGACGUGUUGACUUAUGUUUCCCAUAAAUCAAUCUAGGAUCAGUCUAUUAGUAAACCACAUGUAACCACACAUCUGUAUGUACUAUUGUUGAUGUUGUUGUCUCUGUCCAUCUCUCUCUUUCUGAAUCUCUCUCUAUAAUCAAAACACGGUUUCAGCAGAUGAGCGUCUAACAUGAAUCUGGUUUUGCACAAGGUCUCUGUCUUCUAAAAGGAAGUUUUUCUUCACCACUGUUACUUGUUGGAUGCUACAAAGUGGGUCUGUUUGAGACUCAAUCAUAUUCUAUCUUGAUGUUGGGUCUUAAAGAGUAAACAGACAAAUUUCAACUGUUUUUAAAUCAAUAAAAUCAUAAUCAGAGUUAUAUUUAAGUGUGAAAUGAUUGAUUUGUCGAGGAAGUCAUUAUGAAAUUCACGGGUUAGUCUAGCUAUCAUAAGACGGUUGUUAAAGGUGGUACAAACCCUUCAGGGUGAGACAACACUACUCUCAUUGUGUAGCGCCUGCCAAAGCCCAAUAAGCAAAUUAGAUUUUGAGACUCAUAAAACUGCUCAUCUCCGGAUAUUUUUUCAGAGUUUCUUGCCAGUGGCUUAUUCACAUCAACUUGGAAGACUCCACAUAUUCAUUGGAAGAGGAACGUUUAAGGGGAAAAAAAUCACUGGGAUGACUAAUCUGGGGACUUUUCUGUCUGAAUCCAUCGCUUUAAUAUCAACCUGCUGUUUUAAGGUUAACACAGACAUCAAACAAGACAUCUUGCAUAAUGCAUGUGUGUUUAAAGUGCUCAGUAAUAAUUGUAGGGCAGAACUGAAGCCCGAACUAGGCCUUAGUGUAUUUAAAAGUACCAAACCUGCUAUCUUUUGGAUCCACAGUUUAUAAAAUGCUUAACUUUAAGAUAGAUCCAUGCAGCUGAAUGCACUUCUUAAGAGUUGGCUGUUUAUUAUCAGUCCAAAGUUGGUUGCUCUGUGACCCAAAUGCAAAAAUGUUAAUAAACACCCUGUUCUGCACCUUUAUGCAAUCAGCCCCUCUCGGCCAGACUGAGGUGGAAACCCGUUUGAUAAAAUUGGCUGCUUCCUGGAGUCUGGAGACUGAAGUCACACACUCAGACGGAAGGGAUUGGAGACGCAUGGAGAGGGGAGGGGGACAUUGUGCGUCUAGUGCCACUUCCACAGUCCCCCCCCCUGACAGACCCGACUGAUUGCUUCCAGACCACCUUAAAAAGCGGCGCAGUCCUCUGAACCGUGCGGUCUCUUGCGUUGCGCUCUUGCGCGGCGCCAGUGGGGGAUCCUGGGACAAUGUGG
This is a non-coding RNA of Xyrichtys novacula (pearly razorfish), 3557 nucleotides long. The record is from the annotation of a GenBank genome assembly. Lineage: Eukaryota; Metazoa; Chordata; Actinopteri; Labriformes; Labridae.